GAUGAAGAACGUAGCGAAAUGCGAUACUUGGUGUGAAUUGCAGAAUCCCGUGAACCAUCGAGUCUUUGAACGCAAGUUGCGCCCGAAGCCAUUAGGCCGAGGGCACGCCUGCCUGGGCGUCACACGUCGUUGCCCCCCCAUCUACUCCUUCGGGAUUGCGGGGGGCGGAUGAUGGCCUCCCGUGCGCCUCGUCGCGCGGUUGGCAUAAAUGCCAAGUCCUCGGCGACGCACGCCACGACAAUCGGUGGUUGCGAAACCUCGGUUGCCCGUCGUGUGCGGUCGUCGCGCAUCGAGGGCUCGAAAAAAUUGCCGGGCUCCGGCUCGGCUUUCAACGCGACCCCAGGUCAGGCGGGGUUACCCGCUGAAUUUCAGCAUAUCAAUAAGCGGAGGA
This 391-nucleotide unclassified non-coding RNA is filed under the name soil metagenome. Its description in RNAcentral is "partial contains 5.8S ribosomal RNA, internal transcribed spacer 2, and large subunit ribosomal RNA". The stretch from base 1 to 122 matches the Rfam family "5.8S ribosomal RNA", at positions 35 to 154 of the family's 154-position model. The record is from RNAcentral.